This 315-nucleotide long non-coding RNA is filed under the name Androctonus crassicauda. Lineage: Eukaryota; Metazoa; Arthropoda; Arachnida; Scorpiones; Buthidae. The record is from RNAcentral.
CAUUUUUAAUCACUCUUUUCUAUGAUGGACAUGACAAGAAUCAAGGUGAUAUGCACAAAGUGGACCAUGUGUGUCUGUCAGUGCCUGCAGGCAGGAGUCAGCAUGCAGGUUUCCACUCCUGAAGUCAGGUCUCUGGAACCGCAGUCCCCGGCCCCAUCCCGCUGUGCACGCAGACAGGCCUUGGUCUUUGGAUGGGGACUGUCCCAGCUGGUAUUGCAGCUAACCUGGGGGUUGAGCUUCUGUCCAGUGCUUAUCCUGUCUAUGUUUACAUAGGACACUAAGCUCCCCUGGGGGUGGGGGGUGGAGAAAGCCAAC